GACGAACGCUGGCGGCGUGCUUAACACAUGCAAGUCGAACGGGAGGAAAAGAGAAGCUUGCUUCUUUUUGAAUCUAGUGGCAAACGGGUGAGUAACACGUAAACAACCUGCCUUCAGGAUGGGGACAACAGACGGAAACGACUGCUAAUACCGAAUGUGUUCCGGAGACCGCAUGAUUUCCGGAAGAAAGGAUGGCCUCUAUUUAUAAGCUAUCGCCUGAAGAGGGGUUUGCGUCUGAUUAGGCAGUUGGUGAGGUAACGGCCCACCAAACCUACGAUCAGUAGCCGGUCUGAGAGGAUGAACGGCCACACUGGAACUGAGACACGGUCCAGACUCCUACGGGAGGCAGCAGUGGGGAAUCUUCCGCAAUGGACGAAAGUCUGACGGAGCAACGCCGCGUGAGUGAUGACGGCCUUCGGGUUGUAAAGCUCUGUGAUCGGGGA
Molecule: ribosomal RNA, 443 nt
Filed under: uncultured Bacillota bacterium
Lineage: Bacteria; Bacillati; Bacillota
Description: bacterial SSU rRNA
Rfam family: Bacterial small subunit ribosomal RNA
Source: RNAcentral